RNAcentral lists this long non-coding RNA (1446 nucleotides) under Capsicum annuum. RNAcentral's name for it is "long non-coding RNA (CANN_LNC010970)". Lineage: Eukaryota; Viridiplantae; Streptophyta; Magnoliopsida; Solanales; Solanaceae. The record is from RNAcentral.
ACAAUUUCAGAAAAGUAAACUAAUCUUUUAACAAAUGCUUCCUAAAAGAUAUAAGAUGAUAUUUCAAAUAUGUUUGCAUACAUGUUUACGUAUAGGAAACCAACCAUCUUUCCUUAAGAUUGAAAAUAUUAGACUGCAAAUAACGACAGCACAAAAUCAUUGUUAAUUUAAUUUACACUCUCUCUCCCAACGGCUCUCUCCCCCUCUCUCUCUCUCACUAUAAACAAAAUCUAAAAAUUGCUAAGCCAAACCAACAGGAAAACUAUAAACAUAUUUCAGAUUGAUGCAGUAGAGUUGAAACCAAAACAUCGAAUCAAGAAGUAAAUUCCAAAAAAGCAUAAACUUGACAGUGAAAUGAAGACUAAAAGAAAGAAAAUUAAUACUAAGAUCUUAAGUCAAAUCAAGUAAGCAACCAAUUCGAAACAAAGCCUUAAAUCGAUAAUUCGAAACAAAGCAGUAAAUCAAUACGACGAUGAAUAUAAGAUAAACCGAAAAUCCAAACAUGAUGACAUAUAAAAUCAAAACAUUAAUAAUAGGAGCAACAGUAAGCUAAAACGAUGACUGGUAAAGGACAAACAGUGACCAUACGGCGUAAAUCACAAUCACGAUUACGACUAAAUCUUGGGCCUCAAAACAGCUUUAUGAAAAUAAGAACUAGACUAAGAAACACGUUUAUCACAAAAACCCUAUAGCCUUCAAGGCUUCUACAACAAACAGUCCCAACAAUACUAUAAAAUUGCUACUAGUACGAAGAAGGGGAAGAAGUAACGAAUAAAUUAAAAAGAGAAAAAUGUGUUUACCUAGUAAUCUCGGGACGAUGAGUCGAGGACGACUUCACCUCUUUCCUUGACUCGAGAACAACAAAAAAAAAUACGAAACUUGAACAAAAAUUCUCUCAACUCCAGGUUGGGAACCGAAGUCCGAACCCUAACAGAGCAGAGAAUUUUUAGUCCCCUUUUUGGUUUCGGAAAAAAACUCCCUUGAACAGUGGAAUCAACGGGUUUAUCUAGAAACCCAAAAAAUCUCAAAUCUUGGUCGAUUAUCGACGUGGGAUUGAAAAAUCAACGGCAAUUUUAGAAUUUUAAUCAGAAAUCUUCUUGGAAGAUAAGGGUAUGAGCUGGAAUCGUAUAAUUUCGUACGAAUAGGAUUUUGAACGUUGGUGGAUGAGACAUUGUUGGACAAGCUAGAUUUUGCAGGUUGUACGCCGAGUUGAGGGGUUGUAGAUCGGGUUGUAGCAGGUGUCGGAUCACCGUUGAUUUUGCUGGUAUGGUCGGGUCGUGGUUUGAAGUUGUGGGUUGUAUUGUCGUUGCUGGCUGAAGCUGGUGUUGGGUUUUGUCGGGUUGAAAUUGUUUUUUGUUGUGACUGGUGUUGCUUUGGUCGCUGAUGGUGAUUAAAAGGGUGAACCGGGUCAGACCAUUUUGGGCCUGGAGUGGUGGCUGAUUGUUG